RNAcentral lists this long non-coding RNA (221 nucleotides) under Mytilus galloprovincialis (Mediterranean mussel). The record is from RNAcentral. Lineage: Eukaryota; Metazoa; Mollusca; Bivalvia; Mytilida; Mytilidae.
GAAUGGAUUUGGAUGAAACUUUGCAUGAUUGUUCCUUAGAUUAUCCUGCACAAAGUGUGUGCUUCGAUUUUUGAUCCGUCAAAAAACAUGGCUGCUGUUACUUAAAAUAGAACAUAGGGGUCAAAUGCAGUUUUUGGCUUAUAUCUCAAAAACGAAAGCAUUUAGAGCAAAUCUGACAUGGGGUAAAAAUGUUCAUUAGGUCAAGAUCUAUCAGCCCUGAA